RNAcentral lists this ribosomal RNA (663 nucleotides) under Lactiplantibacillus plantarum. Its description in RNAcentral is "bacterial SSU rRNA". It matches the Rfam family "Bacterial small subunit ribosomal RNA", at positions 73 to 712 of the family's 1533-position model. Lineage: Bacteria; Bacillati; Bacillota; Bacilli; Lactobacillales; Lactobacillaceae. The record is from RNAcentral.
UUGGUGCUUGCAUCAUGAUUUACAUUUGAGUGAGUGGCGAACUGGUGAGUAACACGUGGGAAACCUGCCCAGAAGCGGGGGAUAACACCUGGAAACAGAUGCUAAUACCGCAUAACAACUUGGACCGCAUGGUCCGAGCUUGAAAGAUGGCUUCGGCUAUCACUUUUGGAUGGUCCCGCGGCGUAUUAGCUAGAUGGUGGGGUAACGGCUCACCAUGGCAAUGAUACGUAGCCGACCUGAGAGGGUAAUCGGCCACAUUGGGACUGAGACACGGCCCAAACUCCUACGGGAGGCAGCAGUAGGGAAUCUUCCACAAUGGACGAAAGUCUGAUGGAGCAACGCCGCGUGAGUGAAGAAGGGUCCCGGCUCGUAAAACUCUGUUGUUAAAGAAGAACAUAUCUGAGAGUAACUGUUCAGGUAUUGACGGUAUUUAACCAGAAAGCCACGGCUAACUACGUGCCAGCAGCCGCGGUAAUACGUAGGUGGCAAGCGUUGUCCGGAUUUAUUGGGCGUAAAGCGAGCGCAGGCGGUUUUUUAAGUCUGAUGUGAAAGCCUUCGGCUCAACCGAAGAAGUGCAUCGGAACUGGGAAACUUGAGUGCAGAAGAGGACAGUGGAACUCCAUGUGUAGCGGUGAAAUGCGUAGAUAUAUGGAAGAACACCAG